GUUGAACGCUGGCGGCGUGCUUUACACAUGCAAGUCGAACGGCAGGGCGGGGAGGUUGGCUCUUCGGCGUUAGCGGCGCGCGGGUGUGAAUAAUACGGAUAAACUUCUUGUAAAGAUGGGAAUAACCCGCCAAAAGGGUGCUUAAUACCGCUUAUAUUCUGAAGCAGAUAGCUGGAGAGCGAAAGAUGGUCUUGGCGCUUUUUAUACAUGCAUCCGCGCUGCAUUAGCUAGUUGGUGAGGUAACGGCUUACCAAGGCAACGAUGUGUAGCUGGGCUGAGAGGGUGAUCGGCCACACUGGAACUGAGACACGGCCCAGACUCCUACGGGAGGCAGCAGUGGGGAAUCUUCGGCAAUGGGGGAAAGCCUGACGGAGCAAUGCCGCGUGUAUGAUGAAGGCCUUCGGAUCGUAAAGCACUUUUAUUAGGGAAGAACAGAUAUCUGUGAAAAAGUGCAGAUCUUGACGGUACCUAAUGAAAAAGCAACGGCUAACUACGUG
This 497-nucleotide ribosomal RNA is filed under the name uncultured bacterium. Its description in RNAcentral is "partial 16S ribosomal RNA". It matches the Rfam family "Bacterial small subunit ribosomal RNA", at positions 28 to 507 of the family's 1533-position model. The record is from RNAcentral.